Angiostrongylus cantonensis (rat lungworm) is the source of this 167-nucleotide non-coding RNA. NCBI's taxonomy places the organism in Eukaryota, Metazoa, Nematoda, Chromadorea, Rhabditida, Metastrongylidae. The record is from Rfam.
GUUGCUUCUCGGCAUUUUGGCUAAGAUCAAAGUUUAGUUUCUGUUCUUAUCGAAUUAACGUUUGAUUGAGAUCCUAACGAAUCUCGUUAAUGUUAUUCGCUGGCUUGCCGGCAACCCAUCAAGGGUAAGCCCAGCAUUACACUGCUGCUGGGGACGGGCCACCCCCA